Spinacia oleracea (spinach) is the source of this 843-nucleotide long non-coding RNA. RefSeq lists it as uncharacterized. The record is from RefSeq and is a predicted model, not a curated record. The transcript is spliced from 2 exons. Lineage: Eukaryota; Viridiplantae; Streptophyta; Magnoliopsida; Caryophyllales; Amaranthaceae.
GUGGCUGGUCACAUAUGAGACUUGAGGUGGAUGAAAACCUAAAAAAAGUUAAUGCAUCUUCUUCCGUUCCCCGUGAGUUCCUCAAACAGUCAAACCUGCAAACCCCAAAAUAACUCUUCAAAUUCUCUCUCCUUCCCAUGGUCUGACUUCAAAAAAUUAGUCAAUUAAUUCUCUUAAUUACCUUAAUUAUCUCUCUUAAAAAUACUCUGGUAGACUGAAUUCUUCUCAUGAUGUUCAACGUAUAAAUUUCAUAUAUUUAUAUAUGUGUCAAGAUUCAAGAUCUCUUGAGACUGAGUAUCAAUAUCUACUUCAAUUUUUUUUUCAAUUCAAAGAGCCCUUCAAUAACGAUGCAGUUGGAACUGUCGUUGCUUCCGAUACUAGUUAUGAGGCUCUGAACUAUAACCAGUGUGUCUUUGUUGAUUGGGUUGUUACGCUGUUGUUUGCUCUGCUGAUGUACUCUGCUGCGUCUAAUGCAGUUUGGCUGCCUUUUGUGUUGAUUGUCUAGUCUUUUGUUGUUGCUCAUGUGUUUUUAGUUUGGGAUGCGGGUUUGUGCUCCCUUAGCGGUUUUUUCUUGAUUCUCUGUUUGAAUAUUGUUUGGUUUCUACCUUUUGGUAAUAACUAGGAGUCGGACCGCGCACUAACGCGCGCGAAAGACCCGCCAAAAAAGAAAUAAAUUUUUCUUAUGGAGAAGGGAGUGCAGGCAAUGUAUGUGCUAAUAGACGAAGUGAACUCAACCUUAUAGUACAUGUUGUCGGUGAUAAUCUAAAAGUGAAAGUGUAUUAGAUUUUGAACAUGAGAUUGCCCUAAAAGAAACCACUAACAAAAUUGUGUUUACGAUGUUAA